UACCAGCACCCCGAGUGGUCGGGACGAUUAUUGGGCCUAAAGCAUCCGUAGCCGGUCCUGCAAGUCUUCCGUUAAAUCCAGCUGCUCAACAGAUGGGCUGCGGGAGAUACUACAGGGCUAGGAGGCGGGAGAGGCAAGCGGUACUUUAUGGGUAGGGGUAAAAUCCGCUGAUCCAUAGAAGACCACCAGUGGCGAAGGCGGCUUGCCAGGACGCGCUCGACGGUGAGGGAUGAAAGCUGGGGGAGCAAACCGG
This 253-nucleotide ribosomal RNA is filed under the name uncultured bacterium. RNAcentral describes it as "partial 16S ribosomal RNA". It matches the Rfam family "Archaeal small subunit ribosomal RNA", at positions 474 to 727 of the family's 1478-position model. The record is from RNAcentral.